This 26-nucleotide transfer RNA is filed under the name Ploceus ocularis (spectacled weaver). RNAcentral describes it as "partial tRNA-Trp". The record is from RNAcentral. Lineage: Eukaryota; Metazoa; Chordata; Aves; Passeriformes; Ploceidae.
GAAACUUAGGAUUACUAAAACCGAAG